UGCUGUAGUGCAGAGGUUCCCGAGAUGGAGAGCUGACACAGGACAGCAACCCAGAGAAGAAAAAAUGUGAGCUGGACCUUCAAUGCUUGGCAGCAUUGAAGAGGAAAAGCAUCUCAGAUAAAGGAAAAGAAAGACGUUCAACUCUACCAACUGUCUAUAGCAUUUCACAGUGUUGUGGAUGAUUAUGCUGUCUAGGGAACUGAGUAGUUACUGCACUUUCAAAAACAUCAUCUCACAGUCCUGAGUGAUCUAUCCACACAUCCAUCUUCAAGCUUCCCAAAGGCAGGAAUCACCUAUUGUUCGUCUGUAAACUCCAAUGAGAAACAUACAGUCUGGUGUAUGGGAGGUCAUCAAAACAAGUGUGGAGGUAUAAGCUAAGACUGACAACUGCCUCCCAAGUUUCUAUUCAAAAGUAAUCAUUUUGGAUGUAAAUCUCAUCAGGAAUGUGUUUAAACUCAGGAACUGCUGAAUUGUACUGUAACUUGGCUCAUCCCAAAUAGUGCAGUUGUCUUCACAAUGGAGAGACUGUCACAGCCUAAAAAGACACGUGACUCUGAGCAUCAGUUUACUGGCUGCCCACUCAAUGAUUCAGACUCCUCCAUUCUUUGUGUGGAAGAGAACUGGCCUUCCGGGAGCCUGAGGCCAAGUGAGAGAACCUUCUGAAAGCCGUCACUGCAUGGGGAGCCUGGACUUAC
RNAcentral lists this long non-coding RNA (695 nucleotides) under Homo sapiens (human). RNAcentral describes it as "HSALNT0372780". The record is from RNAcentral. Lineage: Eukaryota; Metazoa; Chordata; Mammalia; Primates; Hominidae.